ACGGGAGGCAGCAGUGAGGAAUAUUGGUCAAUGGUCGAGAGACUGAACCAGCCAAGUAGCGUGAUGGACGACGGCCCUAUGGGUCUUAAACAUCUUUUAUAGGGGAAUAAAGUCAGGUACGCGUACCAGUUUGCAUGUACCCUAUGAAUAAGCAUCGGCUAAUUCCGUGCCAGCAGCCGCGGUAAUACGGAAGAUGCGAGCGUUAUCCGGAUUUAUUGGGUUUAAAGGGAGCGUAGGCGGUCCCAUAAGUCUGCGGUAAAAUGUCAACGCCCAACGUUGUCCCGCCGUGGAAACUGUGCGACUUGAAUACACACAAGGAAGAUGGAAUUCGUCGUGUAGCGGUGAAAUGCUUAGAUAUGACGAAGAACUCCGAUUGCGAAGGCAGUCUUCUGGAGUGCGAUUGACGCUGAGGCUCGAAAGUGCGGGUAUCAAACAGGAUUAGAUACCCUGGUA
Molecule: ribosomal RNA, 453 nt
Filed under: uncultured Paraprevotella sp.
Lineage: Bacteria; Pseudomonadati; Bacteroidota; Bacteroidia; Bacteroidales; Prevotellaceae
Description: partial 16S ribosomal RNA
Rfam family: Bacterial small subunit ribosomal RNA
Source: RNAcentral